CAGCAGCCGCGGUAAUACGGAGGGAGCUAGCGUUGUUCGGAAUUACUGGGCGUAAAGCGCGCGUAGGCGGUUACUCAAGUCAGAGGUGAAAGCCCGGGGCUCAACCCCGGAACUGCCUUUGAAACUAGGUGACUAGAAUCUUGGAGAGGUCAGUGGAAGUCCGAGUGUAGAGGUGAAAUUCGUAGAUAUUCGGAAGAACACCAGUGGCGAAGGCGACUGACUGGACAAGUAUUGACGCUGAGGUGCGAAAGCGUGGGGAGCAAACAGGAUUAGAUACCCCCGUAGUCCCUGUCUCUUAUAC
This 301-nucleotide ribosomal RNA is filed under the name uncultured bacterium. Its description in RNAcentral is "partial 16S ribosomal RNA". It matches the Rfam family "Bacterial small subunit ribosomal RNA", at positions 509 to 807 of the family's 1533-position model. The record is from RNAcentral.